GCAUGGCUGACGAGUCCCAAACAGGACGAAACAGCUGUCCAGUGC
This is a non-coding RNA of Echinostoma caproni, 45 nucleotides long. NCBI's taxonomy places the organism in Eukaryota, Metazoa, Platyhelminthes, Trematoda, Plagiorchiida, Echinostomatidae. The record is from Rfam.